UACGUAGGGGGCGAGCGUUGUCCGGAUUUACUGGGCGUAAAGGGCGUGUAGGCGGUUGGACAAGUCUGGUGUGAAAUGCAUGGGCUCAACUCGUGCGCUGCGCUGGAAACUGUUCGACUGGAGUGCCGGAGGGGCGACUGGAAUCCCCGGUGUAACGGUGAAAUGUGUAGAUAUCGGGGGGAACACCUGUGGCGAAGGCGGGUCGCUGGACGGUAACUGACGCUGAGACGCGAAAGCGUGGGGAGCAAACAGG
Molecule: ribosomal RNA, 253 nt
Filed under: uncultured bacterium
Lineage: Bacteria
Description: partial 16S ribosomal RNA
Rfam family: Bacterial small subunit ribosomal RNA
Source: RNAcentral